UACACAGCGGUGUUUGGGCACGGAGAAUUUUGAUUUCUCAAGAGAAGGUCAUAUCUUCCUGGUAA
Molecule: transfer RNA, 65 nt
Filed under: Mammilla mammata
Lineage: Eukaryota; Metazoa; Mollusca; Gastropoda; Littorinimorpha; Naticidae
Description: tRNA-Gln
Source: RNAcentral